This 69-nucleotide transfer RNA is filed under the name Muscina pascuorum. RNAcentral describes it as "tRNA-Gln". Lineage: Eukaryota; Metazoa; Arthropoda; Insecta; Diptera; Muscidae. The record is from RNAcentral.
UAUAUUUUAGUGUAGGAUGCACAAAAGUUUUUGAUACUUUUAGAAAUAGUUUAAAUCUAUUAAAUAUAA